AAUUUAUAAUAUUAAUUUAUAAAAUGUUGAAAAAAUGUUUUUUGAAUAUUUUCUGCUUUGAUCCGGAAAGCGGACAGAGACAGGGUG
This 87-nucleotide non-coding RNA is filed under the name Acetivibrio thermocellus ATCC 27405. RNAcentral's name for it is "pan motif". It matches the Rfam family "pan motif". Lineage: Bacteria; Bacillati; Bacillota; Clostridia; Acetivibrionales; Acetivibrionaceae. The record is from RNAcentral.